Molecule: ribosomal RNA, 415 nt
Filed under: uncultured microorganism
Description: bacterial SSU rRNA
Rfam family: Archaeal small subunit ribosomal RNA
Source: RNAcentral
GUGCACCAGGCGAGAAAACUUCACAAUGUGCGAAAGCACGAUGAGGGAAUCCCAAGUGCUUGCACGUAAGUGUAAGCUGUUUCUCUGUCUAAAACGCAGAGAGAGUAAGGGCUGGGUAAGACGGGUGCCAGCCGCCGCGGUAAUACCUGCAGCUCGAGUGGUGACCGUUAUUAUUGGGCCUAAAACGUCCGUAGCCGGUUUAAUAAAUGCCUGGGUAAAUCGGACCGCUUAACGGUUCGAAUUCCGGGUAGACUGUUAAACUUGAGACCGGGAGAAGUUAGAGGUACUCCUGGGGUAGAGGUGAAAUUCUGUAAUCCUAGGGGGACCACCAGUGGCGAAGGCGUCUAACUAGAACGGGUCUGACGGUGAGGGACGAAGCCCUGGGGCGCAAACGGGGAUUAGAUACCCGUGUAGU